This is a non-coding RNA of Paramuricea clavata, 1013 nucleotides long. The record is from the annotation of a GenBank genome assembly. Lineage: Eukaryota; Metazoa; Cnidaria; Anthozoa; Malacalcyonacea; Plexauridae.
UGUGUUAAUAUUUUAUUUUUUUCUAUGUGGCUAAUUAACCUCUUAUACAUAAGCUUUUCCAAUAAUUUAGAAAAACAAGUGAGAACAGAUAUAGGCCGAUAAUUCUUAAAUUCAUUGUUUUCGUUUGCUUUGAAAAUAGGGGUAACUAGAGCUAUUUUUAGAUCAUCAGGAAUAGUUCCAGAAAGAAAAGUCAAGUUAAAUAUGUGUGAAAGUGGUUCAGAAAUUUCUGGAGCAAUCACUUUGAUUACCUGUGAGCUUAUACCAUCAUAUCCAGGGCUUUUUUUGGAAUUCAAAUUAUUUAUCUCAUUUUCUAAUUCAUCUUUAGUUAUUGGAUUAAUAAAGAAGCUUCCUUUACAGCUAUUAGUGAGAUAUUUAUCGAAAUUUGUUGUGCUAUUCGAAAGUUUUUUUCGCAAGUCCUGGGCCAAUAUUUACAAAAUAAUCAUUGAAUCUAUUUGCUAUUGAUUUUGGAUCGGUAAUUUUUUCUCCAGGACUAUUUCCAAUAAAUUCCAUUGGUAACAUACUACUUGUUUUAUUUCGAUUCAUAAUUUCAUUUAAUGUUUUCCAUAGUACCUUUGUAUCAUGUUUAUAUUUUAUUAACUGUUCUUCGUAAUGUUUCUUUUUUGCCGCUCUUAUUAUAUGAUUUAGUUUAUUUUUAUAUUGUUUGUAUGUUUUUCCUUUUUUUCUGUAGGGCAUUGAAGGUAUUUUUUAUAUAACUUGUUCUUUUGCAUAACUGAUUUUGCAAUACAUUUUGUCAUCCAUGGGCUUCGGGUUUUGUCAAUAUUUCUUUUCACUACUUUUCUUUUUAAUGGAAAGUUUUUUCAUAGGCUAUUGAAAGUAAGUUAAAGAAUUCAUUGUAGGACUCUGCCGUGUUGUUUUUAGAAAGUACAUUAUCCAUAUUAUAUAUUAUUCUUGUUCAUCCGUUCCAUUCGGUCCUGAUGGUUAUUAUAAUGUCGGUCCAUGAAACCAAAUCCAGAGCCCGUUGGGCGCGUUGGGAGGCUAUGAUUAUAUCACCU